GCCACCAAAGCAGAGCAAGUGAACUGAACCACUAGGCCAUGGGGCCAGCCUUUGAUUUUUUUUUUUAAGUAAAUACCUAACUAACUGGUAGAACUCUUCUGAAACAUCGUGCUUAUCCUAUCUAGACUUCUGAGAAGAAGGAUGUAUUGAUGCUGCUUGGUACUUGGGUUGCACAGGAAAGUUGUUUCUGCCGAAGGAGGUUAAGGCUGGGCCCAAGACAGACUGCAGGGUGCAGGAGGGAAGGAACUCUGGGCCCCUGAGCCCUUGUCAUGAGGUUUUAGUAAAUGUAUGGAGGAAUCAGUGAGGGCAACAGAGGAAAAACUGGUGGAGGAAAAGAGGAGAGGGAGAAGGAAAGAGAGAUUGAUCGAUCAAUCGAUUGACUGAUUCUGGGUAGGCUACACAGAUCAAUGGAGCAUGCAGUUUGAAGCUGGGCUGACAUGGUCUGUCAGCGCCCUGCUUGGAGGCCAAAGGCACAUCACUUCACCUCUCCCAGCCCCAGUCUCCCCAUCUCAAUCUGCGAUGGUUGUAAGGACACUUGAAGACUCCAGUGUGUGCAGUGUAUGUGGCAUCCUGCUGUGUGCGCCCAUGCGUGAGCUCACAGGGCUGUGGCUGGUACAGCUGUGCGUGUUCUGCCAACAAGCUCACCUCACAUCCUCUCUCAGGACCUCCCAGAAUUCUCAGGAAGGUGACGGGGAGGGAAACACUGACUGGAGAGAACUGUUGGCUCUGGACCUUCUGGUCUUUUGCCCUCACAGGAGCCAAUGACUCAAGACUAUUCCUAGUCUGUGGACCUCUCAAUAAUCUAAGUUCUGUCUGGAUAUCAAAUUGGACCAUCUGAAGAUUAUGGAAACCACUCCUGCAUCCGCUUUAAAACAGUUAUCAGGGAAAGCGACCUUGCACAACACCCCACGUAAAAAAAAAAUCAAAAAAAAUUGUUUAGAACUUAGAGCUGGGAAAAUCCUGUCUUCCUUGAGAACAGCUGGUUCUUCUCUUCUGACAAGUGUGUGUGACUUCUGGGAAGCCCGUCAGCCAUGGCUGGUAGACCUGGUGACCUCAUGUCACUUAUGCAAAGAGAUGGAACAAAAAAUAAGCAGGUACACAGAUCACUAAGAUUCAUGUGGGUCAGAGAUGAAUCAUUAGCAUAGUAAAGACAUACAUAGAAACAAGUGACAUUAGAGCAGCCUUCUCAAACAGAGGCGGACGCUGUCCCAUCCGGGAGCAUAUCUGAAUCUAGGAGGCGCUUUGCUCCCAGAGAAUCCCCUGCAGGGAGAAGUCUGCGCCUGUGACUCAUGCAGCCACAGACAGAAGCUUUCAAGCCCCUUUUUGGAGGAAGAGUGGAUUCUUGACACAGAAUCCCUGCCAGUGAGCACUGGGAUGAGAAGAGAGGCCACAGCUCUUCUUCGGCUUGGAGAUUAGUGCUGAAACGAGGUUUUGAGGAAAAUGAAGAGAAGACUCCAUGGAAGAGGAGAUGGAUCCGGGCCCAGACCUCCCCUCCCCACUGGCCGCAGAUCAAGAAACUCAGGUGUUGAUGGGGUGAGCUCUUUGCCCGAGGCUCAUAGCAAAUGCAGGAGCUGAGGUUCAAACCCAGACAGUCUUGUUCCACAGCCCGCGGGGCUCAAGGAGAUGCUGGAUGGAGACCUGCAAACCCUCUGGGUCUGGAGAACGGAAGGACAAGGCUCCAGGGAAGAUGGCCCAGAGAGAGUAGACACCAAGGGGCUUGCUCAGCCUGCCCCUGAGAGGAAACGUGGGUCCUCUACAAAUGGCACCCAGGGGCUCAACAGUCACUUGGAAGUGAAGGUGAGACUGCUCAGCCCCAGGAGGGCAUGGACUCCUCCGUCUGUUGGGUUCCCCUGAACACACGAAAUGUGCGGUUCCCUGGGCUGCACAAGGUACAAGGUGGAUGGAUAGCAGGUGUCACCAUCCACGAGGAUCUCCACAGCGAGCAGCACAGGCUUCACUGCUGCAGGAGGGCCUGGCUGGUGGGCAUCAGAGCAGGGGCUGCCUGUCCUGCCCGCCACAACCCCAUCCCACAGACCUGUGGGCAGGGGCAAGGGUGGGUUCUUGUUGGACUUCUCUUUUCUCUGUCACUUCUGGGGCAACAGGGAAGAAGGGACCUUCUCCAAGAUGCUGCCCUCCCCACACUGAAGGUCUUGCCUUUCUUGGCUUCACCCUUCUCUCCCACCCCGCCGACUGUUUAGGUGGACAGUUAACUCCCCUAGAGUGUAAGGAAAGAUGCCACAGGCCUAGCUCCACAAUUGAGGUAAAUCACAAAGAUGGUCUCCUGUUCCCACUUCGUUUGGCUGCCUGUUCACUGGGUUCCAGAACCCUCCUCACUCUUCAUCUUCAAGUCCUUUCUUCUGGGCCUGACACUUUUUGUUUCACAUGGUUCUCUGCACAAGUCCUUUCUGUGCUCGCCCUGUGGCCUGCAGUCACUGCUGCUGUCCAUGUAGUCCCCACCCCCUCAGCAGCUCAGAUGAGGAGCCAAGCCAGCACCGCUCCUUUUCCUCCACCUUCCGCCCCUCAGAAGUGAUUUCCACGGACUGUGGUCUCUCCACUCAUUGCCUGGCCUGGUUUCUGCCACCAUCUCUCACACUAAAGCCACUGUGGUACCCAACAAAUCUCCCAACAGUAUUUCUGCCCCAGCUGAUGGCCUCGCCCUCCUGCCCUAGCUGGAAUCAUCCCACCACCCCAUACACACACCAGGUUCUCAAUAUACACCCAACACAUUCACGUUAAUUAUUCAUGACUCUGUGCUUUGAGUUACAGAAAUCUAGUUCUGGUAAUUAGCUCAAGAAAUGAGAGGAAUUUGUUUUAACAAUAUGGAGUCUCUCUGGGAACCAGUGAUCUUUCCUCAAACACAUGACGGAAUUACAAAUGUCCCAUUCCAUUGUCACACAUAAACCCAAAUUUGAGGCAGUUCCUCAGGCUCUAGGCACUUUGGGAGGAGAAAGGCGUUGGGCCUCUCCAUAUAUAAUGCAUGAUGGCCCCACUGGAUGCACCAUCUUUGCCUGUGGAGUAGGCUAAGCAGGAAGGCUUGACCUGGACCUUUUCUCUGCUGGGGUCAGAUACAUUGGCAGUUGGCUGUUGUAGGAGGGAAUUUGCCAAGACAUGGCCAUGAGGAAAAUCACGCCUGACAACAAGCAUGAAGAAGGCCACCAGAGCUUCUCGAGAGUAGGUCAAACUAAACUGUGGGUGCAGCUUUUGGUUUUGCCAUUCAUAAUCCAUUCAGCCUUCCCUCAUUUUCCUCCGGGGAACCAUCCUGAUCCACGGCAGCCAGCCUACGUGCUUCAUGCAAAUUUACUCUGCCCAGUGGUUGCCCUGCAGGAGGGGGUGGGGCAGCUGGAGCACCGCAAACUCCUGGCCACAGCCUUGGUUGGAUUAGCAAUGGGUACAGGACCCAACUAGAGCCACUGAGGUGCAAUGAGACUUCUGCCGGGACUUUGGGGAGAGAGGCAUUCUCUCUUUUUCAAUAAACUUGAACCUGGAGGAUGCUGCUCUAUAGCUGCUGGCAGUCAUCUGACAACUGUAUAGAGCCUGAGAAGGAAGUCGACAUGGAGAACAGAGCAGAGAUGGAGAGAGACUGGGUGCCAGUGAUAUUUGAUCCCAUGUAUCUAGCCAUAUACGUCAGCUGGUAAAUUCUCUUUUUGGCUUAAACCAAUUUGAUUUGGGUUUUCUGUCAUUUGCAACCAAAACACCAAUCCACAAACUUAGACUUUAUCUCCAAUCCUAGACAGGUUCUUCUUUUAGAAUUACUUGCACAAUAUUUGCUAAGUUUUACCCUUCAGUAACAAUGAUUACUGCAUUAAUUAGAUUCGAUUACAGUAGAGCAUUAAAAAUAACUUACACAUUUGUUCUAAUGUUAACCAUCUCAACAUAUUUUUCCACAACAGAAUUGUCUAAAAUGUAGCAAAAACAAUACAAGAAACUGUUGGGGAACAAUUUAAAGCCCAUUUGUCCAUAAGAUGCUUCACUCAAAUGAACAGUCAUGCAUCGCAUAACAACAUUUUUGGUUAAUGAUGGGUCACAUAUACAAUGGUGGUCCCAUAAGAUUAGCACCAUGUAGCCUAGGUGUGCAGGAGGCCAUACCAUCUACGUUGGUAUAAGUACACUCUGUGAUGUUCUCACAACGACACCGCCUAACAACGCAUCUCUCAGAACAUAUCCUCAUCGUUAAGUGACUCAUGGCUCUACCUAAUUUCAUAUACUCUUGUUCUGAAAGGUCAAGAAACCAACAUUAACCAUGGACAGUGGGGUUUCCUAACAUCUUUACAGAGCCCUGGCUUGUUUCACUAGAAAUUGGAGUUGUAGAAUUUUAGGUUUAGAUUUGCAAAAUUAUUUUCUUCAAAGUUUGAUAUGUACAGCUUGGAAACACUGCCUCAAUGGAUUGUGGCUCUUGAUUUGUGACUUCCUGGUCUAAAUAGUCCAAUACUCAUGCUUAACUGAAUCUCAGUUUCUAGAACAAGGGUUGGAAAACUAUGACUCACAAGUCAAAUCUGGCCCACAGCCUACUUUUAAAAACAGAGCUUUACUGGAACAUAUCCAUGCUCAUAUCCUCUGCUGAGAAGGGGCAGCUUGGAGCAUCAGUUAAAUUUGGCAACCUGUCUUCCCACUUUGGAAUCUGCCUGCUUAUAUUGGAGUAGUAGUUUUCAACCCGACUCUCCAUAAGCUGGUUUCGGGUCUUGCUUCCACAGCCCCCAGGUCAGUUCCAUCGCAUCCAAGUCCUAGGACCCCACCUGGAUAUUCCUCCCUGGGCCCUUGCAGAGCACAGGGCUGACUCCAGGGCUGCUUAACAAAAACAUCACAACAGGCAAUUUGCCAUUUAUAAUCUUUGUUCUCUGCUCUUAUGGAACUAACUGCUUCUGCUAACCCUUCAGCUCGUCUCUGUCUCUCAGUGUCCAAGCUCUUCUAUUGGACAAGCAGGGCACGGAGGGAAAUUUUUACGUCCCUUAUGCCCGACUUGGAAUUUCUAAAAGAAUGGACCCUCUUCCAGGAGAGAGAGGGGCAGUUCCAAAAGCAGCAGCCAGGGGUCUGCCUCCAGGGCAGAGAGGUUUUUACCAGAACUGGCAGCCCUGGUGGCACUUGGCUGGUGUCACGGGCCAUCAGACAGGGGCACCUCUACCUGAGGCAGCCAAGACCGAGGGCCCCAGUGCUCACCAAACAGUCAGGGGCUGGACUUAAUGCAAACUGAAUUCAGGGGAGGAUUCUGAACCCACAGCAAAGCUAGAGGGAACAACGUGUAGUUCCAAGACAGCUCUUAGGAACUGAGGGCCUGUAAGUGUCUUGGUUGGCUGUGCUUCGAGGAGUGAUUGACAUUUCAUGGGAGUCUUGACCCAUAAAGCCAUGAACUCUCAGCCAAAUGUGUGGAAGUGAGGUGUACUUGGGAAGGUCUCAGGAGACAAGGGGGAGCAGAAGCAGGAGCCCUGAGGGUCCUCCAGGAUUCCAGACCCAGCUGACCCCUAACCUCUGCCAUGGCAGACAGCCGAGGCCCAGGGAUGGGACGGUGAUUGAGGAAGAAGCAGAUGAGGCUGGAGAUUGGGGGCAGGAGCUAGCCCACAGUUAUUGCUGCCUUUAAGGCAAAGACCACAGGGAAAGCUCCCCCACUCAGUGAGACACUCAGAGGCUUCUCUGGAUCCAAGAAAAGUUCUGCUGGGCCCCUGGUAGGAGAGGGGAGGAGGAGGGAUGGGCACAGUGCCCAGGAGGGAGGAGAGAACUUAGCUCAGUACUCUGUGACUGCUGGCUGAUCCUCAGAGACCCUGAGGAGUGUCUUACCCACAGAGCCAGGCACAGUUUGUGUUGGGUAGAGCCCAGUGUCCCCCUUCUUCGAGGGGACACAAGGACUUAUUAGGAAGACACUGAGGAAGAAUAACAUUUUGGAAAUAAUAACAAUGCUAGGUUCCUCAGGCAAAAUAUCACCGUUUAUAGAGGGAGGGAUUUCACCCCACAGGUAGUUGAGGGGACAAUGGUGAGGGAAAAAGGAGAAGCAAGAACACUGGCUCUGCCACAAUUUCUGGGGGAGAGGCAAGCAAGACGCCAACAAGAUGCCAGAGAGGGACCAUCUGUAUGACAGGUGGCAGGGCCACAGACAACACCUCCCAGGACACUGAAGAAGCCGAAUGAUUCCUGGGUGCUCAAGCCAGAGUCAGAGAAUCUGAGGUGGUCAAGAUGGCUGAUGGGCCAGAAAGGACAAGGGCCUUCGUAGUGGGGACACACACGAACUGAAGAAUGUGGACAAGACAGACAAUAGACACCUCAGGGGACACCUGUGAGCACAGGUGACUCAGGGCCAGAUGGGGUCUUCCCUAAAGCCUUGGCAUCACACAACUGCUCUGGAAUUUAGCCACAAAGUCCAGGAAAGGGGUGAACAUCCACCAUCCCAGUAGAAUGGAGGUUCAGCAUAAAAAUUAACUUACUUUGUCCACCUGCACUUUUUGAUUGAACUUCCUACCUGUUGUGGAUGCCUUAAGGAGAAAGGAGGGUCACCCUCUGCAUCACCAGAAAAUUUCUCCAGGAGCAGCAACUCUGGUUGCAUGGGCCUUGGAUGAAACAGAUUCAGUGUUUGUCCUCCCCACAUGCCACCUCCAUCAAAUGCUCAAAUCAGGGACCAGUUAUCAUGGAGGGUGGCCCUUCGUUACACUAUCUACAAUGUUGUACUUCCACCAGUGCUGUCCUGGCACUGGGCUCCAUCGCAGCUCCUCUGCUAUCCAGGGGUUGACUGCAGUGGAGUCGGUGGGAGCCCAGGUCUGAGGACCCUCCCACUCCUGCAUGUCCUCCCCACUCUAGUGUAAGCACCGGCUCCUGUUAGUGAACCAGCUGCAGCUGGGUGAGGGGGGAGCCUAGGGCCGGAGACCUUCUGAGAUCUAUGCUAUAGACUGAAUGUGUGUGUCCCACCAGAUUCAUAUGUUAAAUCCUAAUGCCCAAUGUGAUGCUAUUUGGAGGUGGGGCCUUUGGGAGGUGAUUAGGUCAUGAGGGUGGAGCCCUCCUAAGUGGAAUUAAUACCCUUACAAAAGAGACCCCAGAGAGCUCCCUCGCUCCUUCUGCCAUAUGAGGAAACAGCAAGAAAGUCUAUGAACCAGGAAACAGGUCCUCACCAGACAGUGAACCUGUCAACACCUUAAUCUUGGACUUCUGAGCCUCCAGAACUGUGAGAAAUAAAUGUUUACUGUUAAAGCCACUUGACCCAAGGCAUUUUUAUCAUAACAGUACAAACAGAUUAAGACAAUCUAGAAUGUGUGGAAUUCUGCUUGACUAGAUUUAUAAGAAAUGAAUAAUGGUUUUGGCCUCUGCUCUUUUGUUUGCUCAAUUCCUCUCAAUAGGAGUGUGACCUAAAUACUUCUUGCACGCAGUAUCCAUCUUCUCUUUGAUCACUUUUAACAGGGCUGAGAGGCAAUGGAGCUUGGCCUACAUAUUAAGGACGCUUCUCCUCAGGAGCACACAAGGUGGCCAUCAUGGGUAGUUUCUCAGCUCUGACCAAGACCCACGUGUCCUCAGGCCUUCACUGAAUGCCAGCCUGACAAGACGUUCAAAGGUUAAUCAGGGUCCACUAGUGUAAACAUCCCUUCCCCCUUUAUUGCCUCCACCUUCUUGCAGAGAAAUGUCCUCUCUGGGAAGUAGGAUUCUAGAUUAUGAAAGCCGGAGGGAACUGGAGAGGACACUAAGGCCCAGAGAAGGAGGACAGCUGCUCGCUCCACGCUCCUCCUCUCAGUGAACGACACCGACAUCCACCAAACGCCCAAGCCGGAGCUUGGUCCACCACAUGCAGUCCUUCCCAAGCUCUGCCAAGUUCACCUCCUAAAUAUGUCUCGAGUGUGCAGUUCUCUCUAAUAGUAGCAAAUCUGUUAACUUCAUCUAAGCCAACGUCAUGGCUCCUCUUUCAGUUCUGCAUCAGCUUCCUUAGGAUUGUAUGCACAGCAGUCUGGAUAAACUCUUAAACAUAAGUCUAGUCAUGUCAUUGUACUUUUUAAACUCUUCCAGAUUCAACCAUGCCCGGAGGACACAGUAAAACUAAUCCUUAGCAAGGCCUACGAUGUCCUUCACGGUUUGGUUCCUCUGAGCCCCACUGCUCACCAGUCCUGAUCACACAGUGUCUGGCACACACAGUAGGACUCCAGGAAUAGCAGGAAGAUUGAAUCAAACUAUCCAAGCUCAUUCAGCAUGUCUCAGUCAUGAACUUGUGACUCUGAACUCUUGGGCCAGGUCUUUGUGCAGAAAGAGGUGGACUUCAAUACCUUCCCUUCCACUGUCAAAGAUUCUGCCCACAAAACAACAGGGGAUGUCUAGAGAGUGCAGGGUGGGUUCUGGCCUCCUCUGCCUGAGCCCAGGGUUGACAACACAAGGCUCACCACUUGCUGGUCAGACCCCGAAGGCAGAAGAUGCUGCUGUCAUUGCCACACGGGGCACACGGAGAGGCACGAGGGUCAGACAGGAGGAAGAGGGAGCAAGGGGAAAGCACUGGCAAAAGCAUUUACUGGGGUUUCUGCAGGGAGGGAUGAGCAACGCAGGGUAAGUAGCUGGCCAGGCUGAGGACUGGUGAGUUUGAACAAUUCUGGAAGGCUCUGGGGCUUAGCUGUGUCCCUAGUUGUCAGGUAUGCAGCUCUGGGAUGAUCAGGGCAGGGGGACAGUGACUUGGCCAGAUAAAGGAGGUAGUUGAAGGUAUGGGCUCUGGAUUGGUUGGUUUGCGUGGAACAGGCACCCUCACAGGGAAGUCAUUUGCUCCCUCUGGGAACUGGCCAGCCCUGGGAGAAGCCUUCUUCCCCUGCUCAGCAAGCCCCAAAUGCCAGAGCACCAGGAAUCCAGAAAAUAAGAAAAUAUCGUUAACGCAAGGCUCGGUAGAGAGGGUUUGAGUUUCUCACGAGCUCACUGCUCUCCAGAGCAGCUACUCAGGGGCCUUCCCUUUGCCAUCAUCCCUUUUGCAAGGACCUCAAAAGUCCCUUCUUCCAAAAAAGGAGUCCAUGGAAAAAGGCAAAGGAAGACUUCUGGGAGAGAGGUGAGUGUUAAAUAAAACCUUUCUUCACAAUUGGUUCUAAAUAAGCUUUGCAGCUUGGCAGAAAAAAGAAACGUCAGAGCUGAGAAAGAAGGGAGAGAGGGUGCCAGAGAUCUCAGAGGAAAGUGGGUGCAAAUAGCUUAGCGCUCAGGAGGGUCACUUGGCUUUUGGUCUGGGCAUCAACGGGACCAUCGCAAAGGCCCGUCCUCACUGACGUCUCCUUCCCUCCCUUAGAUCUGCUCUGCGUUGAAUCGAGGUGUGCAGAAGGCUGGGAAGGGGGAUACAGCUGCGAGUAUCAAAGCAGCAGCACAGUCAGGCUUGGAAACUUGGGUUUGUGGAGAGGGAAGAUAGCGAGGAUUGCACAAACAGCCCUGCAAACUAUGAACAGGAGAGGGGGGAGUGCACGGGAGAACUUCCGGUCAGGGCAACUGAAAAGUGAGGUGGACAGAACCUUCCCACGCUGAACUCGGAGGUCUAGUCAGUCCAGUAUCCCAUGGAAGUUUCUUUGAAGGAAACUUGUGCACGUCUGCUUAAGUUUACACACCCUCCUCUUGAUACUGUCUUGUUUUUGGUUUGGGUUUCUUUUCUUUCCCAGGGUAUUGAAAGUGCUAGAGUUAGACCUUUAUCUGCUCUGCAUCUGAUGUUCUGGAGAGGUCUGAAAGCCCCUCGGCUGCUGCAGGAGAUGUGAAUGAAUUUCCUGAGCAAGUCCACUCUCUGGACCAACAGUCUAAAGAAUUUUGGGGGUUUUCUCAGAAUCCUAAGACCGAGUCUGAGAGCCCUGGGCCACCAGGUCAAGCACACUUCUUCUAAGACAGCCUGGUAAAAGUGACUUCACUGGCCAGGACACCCUCAUUGGCCAGAGGGGAUUCAGUGGGUGCUGUGCGUGAGUGUUGGGAGGGUGGGGAAGGGGGAGAAGGAUAAACUUGAAAUGGUGGAGCGGGGCAGGUGGAAAUCCAAAGGCAUCAUUAAUAUUAGGUAUUUUUUUGUGGUCAUGUUAACUUUUAGGCUUAAAGCACACUCCCUAAGUAGAAGUGAUGGCUUAGGAGCCUUGGGAAUUAGAAGUAACUGUCUUGGCAUAAAAUGAUCAAGUCACAAGCAGAAGCAUAGGAAGAAGCCAGGACCCAGGCCAGGACAACCUGACUGAGCUGUGACUCAGGUCUCAUCUUCCCUCCUGUCUCGGAAGUGGCAGCCACCAUCCUUCAUACAGUGUCCCUCCCCUGGCGAAGUCCUGACCCCGUUACCUCCUGAACCCAAAGUCAGUUGCUGUAAUGCAACAGAGCAUCCUCCUUCUGAGCAGUGAAGGAUGAGCAGCCAGCACUCAGAGCUGUCACUAAGCCUCCAAUAAUUAGCUUAAAAUAUGCUCCCAGACCGAUCACCACUCUGGGAAUCCAGAUAGGACACCUUAGAGAAUAAAGGAGAUGACUCGAAUCUGAGAAAAAUGAUUUUUGAAGGGAAUAAAAUAAUGUCCUGUGGGGAGGGCUGCCGUUUAUGCUGGAUCUUGUUCAACCUGGGACAGCUUCAUGGAGGAAGGAGGCUGGAGGGAAUAGGAGGGAGGCUGUGAACUGAAAGAACUGGAGGUGGGGUGGUGCUGAGGGCUCAGAGAGGUUAAACUCUGCUCUCUCUGCUGGAUCCCCCCAUGAGUCCCCACUGAAGUGGCUCAGGUUGCCAUUCAAAGGAUGGUUCUGUGGGGUGAAACCUGUCGUGGUCCAGUGGGUGGCACUUUUGUUGAUUUUACUCUUGAUGACACACUUUCUCCCACAAUCGUUUCCUGGCAUAGAGACAGGGGAGGUGCUUCACUGACCUGCAAGCCUGGCCAAUGGAAGAUGAAACUGAUCUACGUGCCAGUUUGGGGGUGAUGGGAGCUGUAGAAUGACUUCAGUGGGAUCAUUUGGGAUGUUCUGUACUAGAAUCACUCCUGGGGUUUUCUGCAGAGAAAUAUGUUUUCUGCAACUUUGGAGGCUUGUUCUUUUUGGCGUUAGUUCUCUUAAUUCUGGCCAGCCCCUCUGGGUUACUCCAAACAGCCCCAGUGUCCAGGCUGCUGCCCUUUCCCUUUCAGCUCCCACAUCAUUAAGAUAGGCUCAGGCCACUCUUUGGGCUCUGGGGUGACCUUCUUGGUGCUGAGUGGGAUGUCAGCUAACAGGCAGUGCAGCGUUGGCCUGUCCCUGGGGGAUGGUGCUGCAGUCUGGAGCCCCUGAGGGUGAGCGUGCAGCACAGCAACACGUUGUGGGCUCCCCUCCAUGCAAGUGAGCCAUGUGUGGGGCUUUGCCCUCAGCUCUCUCAGUUUUUGUCCCAGUCACUCCUCAGGAUGGCUUCCACAGAGCAGUGAGUGCCUCUGUCUCAGUAGUGCCAUUAUCCAUUCUUCGCCGUGUCGUUCCUUUGGGAGAAGGUGCCAAGGAGCAGCUCUGCAGCUGCCUGUGCUGUGUAAGUACCUUGGAUCUGUGAAGCUGAAAGCCCUAAAGUGUGGGCACACUGAGCACACACCGGCCCGUGCUGACCAUGUGGGUGGAUGGGCCCAGGGAAGGGAGGGGAACUGGGCCUCAGCACUCCUUCUUGGAAGAGGUCAUCCCCACCUCCAAGCUCAGAGGUUUGAGAGGAUGCUGCAUGUAUGACAGGAAGCACUGGGGCUGGGACAGUCCUGGCUGCAGGAAACAGCUUCAAGCAGAGAGUUCUGUCACAGAGCUUCCCUCCACCCUAACCUUACCACCGAGGUCAAGUGGGGUUGCUGCAUGGUGAACAGCACACGAAGACUAUAACCCUUGACUGGGCCCCCAACCAGCAUUCUCCAGGCUGACCCACACAAUUCCCUCCCUUGUUCCCUAGUUGGGGCAUAGGGAGGGGCCUCCUUUGCUUUAUCGCCUUGCAGCCUGCCAGAGCUUGUGUGAUAGAGAACAAGGGUAGCAGUGAUGCCCAGUGGAGAAAUAGACACCAGCUCUCCUCUCCCUAGAGACAGGCAUUCACUCUCCCUCUGCUUCGCCAGAAUUCUGAACAGAUCCCAUCUUCCUGGGCCUGGGCUUGAGUGCUGUCCACGGUUCUGACAUCCUAGGGUUGGGGGAAGGACAAGCUGGACUGGAGAGCAAUGGAAGGGCCUGACAUCUGACGUCUGCUGUCUCAGGGGCCUCAAGGCCACAGUUCACACAGUCGCCAAUCACACGUGACUUCCCAGCCCUCUAAUGCUGUUUUCCUGAGCCCAGCUCCAAGUCUUGGCCUUUGUCAAA
Equus caballus (horse) is the source of this 12195-nucleotide non-coding RNA. Lineage: Eukaryota; Metazoa; Chordata; Mammalia; Perissodactyla; Equidae. The record is from RefSeq and is a predicted model, not a curated record.